This is a long non-coding RNA of Anguilla anguilla (European eel), 335 nucleotides long. RefSeq lists it as uncharacterized. The transcript has 3 exons. The record is from RefSeq and is a predicted model, not a curated record. NCBI's taxonomy places the organism in Eukaryota, Metazoa, Chordata, Actinopteri, Anguilliformes, Anguillidae.
UGCUAGCCCAAGUUGUAGGGCAGUGGUCACGAUAAACGUUCCGCAACAGCGCUUAACAUGUAAUUAAAACUAGUUUAGUUUUUGUCGUUAUGUUAUUUGCAAGCUAAACGUAACCGCUGUGUAAUAUUUCCAAGUCAUCUCAGCUGGUGCUCUAUCACUGUCAACUGAUGUUUUGUGGAAAUCUCGCGAGCAGGAGAUGUACUGCUCUCAUCAAGUUCUACAUCCGCUACAUUCAGAAGUGUUCACUGGGUCCGAAGGUCCUACGCCAAGAAGGUUCGACAGCCCCAAGCAGAUGACCCGUGGAAGAGAAAAGCCUGUUUGAAAAUGGAAAUGAG